CCAGAUAGAAUUGGAUCAUGGAGUCACACAAAUAAUGAUAUUGGUCUAAGAUUGUAUAAUUGGGCUAAGUAUAGUCUGAUUGGAUUAGGAUCAAUUGAGUCCUGAUUUUGGGUUUAAGUAAACCAUACUAGUAUAUGGUUAAUCCUAUUUUCUCUUAUUUGAUUAGGGUCCAUCCUAUUAGAUAGGAUUUAAACAAAUUUGAUGCAAGUUUAAAUUGGGUUCCACAUAUUGGUUUACCUGGGUUCGAAUUUGACCUAAUUAGAUUAGGUUUAUGGGGAUGUCAAAUGUUGGCGCCAUCCAAUGUUAUUCGAUCAAGAAGAGGGGCACACCCACAUGGAUCGGAUCCAUGUGUGUUGCCCAAAUCAGAUAAGGGAGGGA
RNAcentral lists this long non-coding RNA (378 nucleotides) under Elaeis guineensis (African oil palm). Its description in RNAcentral is "long non-coding RNA (EGUI_LNC061320)". Lineage: Eukaryota; Viridiplantae; Streptophyta; Magnoliopsida; Arecales; Arecaceae. The record is from RNAcentral.